RNAcentral lists this ribosomal RNA (502 nucleotides) under uncultured bacterium. RNAcentral describes it as "bacterial SSU rRNA". It matches the Rfam family "Bacterial small subunit ribosomal RNA", at positions 28 to 514 of the family's 1533-position model. The record is from RNAcentral.
GACGAACGCUGGCGGCGUGCCUAAUACAUGCAAGUCGAGCGGACCAAAGGGAGCUUGCUCCUGGAGGUUAGCGGCGAACGGGUGAGUAACACGUGGGCAACCUGCCUGUAAGACUGGGAUAACAUCGAGAAAUCGGUGCUAAUACCAGAUAAUAAAAAGAACUGCAUGGUUCUUUUUUGAAAGAUGGUUUCGGCUAUCACUUACAGAUGGGCCGCGGCGCAUUAGCUAGUUGGUGAGGUAACGGCUCACCAAGGCGACGAUGCGUAGCCGACCUGAGAGGGUGAUCGGCCACACUGGGACUGAGACACGGCCCAGACUCCUACGGGAGGCAGCAGUAGGGAAUCUUCCGCAAUGGACGAAAGUCUGACGGAGCAACGCCGCGUGAGUGAUGAAGGUUUUCGGAUCGUAAAACUCUGUUGUUAGGGAAGAACAAGUGCCGUUCGAAAGGGCGGCACCUUGACGGUACCUAACGAGAAAGCCACGGCUAACUACGUGCCAGCAG